AUGGUGGAAGGAAAUGUUACCACUGACUUGGAGAUAAAAAUGAGCCCCCAAGGAGGAGAAAGCCAAAGUGCCAAAAGCUUCAUCACCACUGCUGGUUCCUCCAUGAAAAAGGAUUCUGCAGCCACGGUGAUCGAAGUGAGAGAUGUUCGUGUUAAAAGCACCGAAGGUGCACUCAGCAAGGCUGAUCACGGGUGCAGUGAAAGCAGAGCCAGACCACCGCAACACCUCCAUCAGGUGCAGAGCUCAAGGGAGAAUCCCCAGGAACAGUCUCCACGAAGGCACGCAGAUGCAGCGAUGGGACCUCAUGAUGGAUUGUUGGUGUGUGCAUGUGGACAUGAAACCGUGAACAGAGGAAUUUGCACAGCUGCCCAAGCCAGCUUACAUGCUGAUCAGGAUCUGCUGCAGCCUGGGAAUAAUCUGGCACCAGCUUCUUGGGCAGGCGCGUAA
RNAcentral lists this long non-coding RNA (447 nucleotides) under Phasianus colchicus (ring-necked pheasant). RNAcentral's name for it is "lncRNA (ENSPCLG00000020656.1)". The record is from RNAcentral. Lineage: Eukaryota; Metazoa; Chordata; Aves; Galliformes; Phasianidae.